This 253-nucleotide ribosomal RNA is filed under the name uncultured bacterium. Its description in RNAcentral is "partial 16S ribosomal RNA". It matches the Rfam family "Bacterial small subunit ribosomal RNA", at positions 524 to 776 of the family's 1533-position model. The record is from RNAcentral.
UACGAAGGGGGCUAGCGUUGCUCGGAAUCACUGGGCGUAAAGCGCACGUAGGCGGAUGUGUCAGUCAGGGGUGAAAUCCCGGGGCUCAACCUCGGAACUGCCUUUGAUACAGCACGUCUCGAGUCCGGAAGAGGUGGGUGGAAUUCCUAGUGUAGAGGUGAAAUUCGUAGAUAUUAGGAAGAACACCGGUGGCGAAGGCGGCUCACUGGCCCGGUACUGACGCUGAGGUGCGAAAGCGUGGGGAGCAAACAGG